RNAcentral lists this small RNA (283 nucleotides) under Pseudobacteriovorax antillogorgiicola. RNAcentral's name for it is "5' ureB small RNA". It matches the Rfam family "5' ureB small RNA". Lineage: Bacteria; Pseudomonadati; Bdellovibrionota; Oligoflexia; Oligoflexales; Pseudobacteriovoracaceae. The record is from Rfam by way of RNAcentral.
CUUCAUCGAUUUGCUGCGGGCAAAUAAAAUGAAUAUGAGCAUCGAUCCCUCCUGCGGUGAGAAUCUGCCCCUCUCCAGCGAUAAUCUCGGUAGACGCUCCAAUAUUCAUAUCUACGGGACCCUGGAUAUCUGAAUUGCCAGCCUUGCCAAUAGCCGCAAUAUUCCCAUCCUUAAUCCCAAUGUCGGCUUUUACUAUGCCCCAGUGGUCAAUGAUGAGGGCAUUGGUGAUCACCGUGUCCAUACAAUCUUUUGCCAAUGCUUGGCCCUGCCCCAUACCAUCACG